Cannabis sativa is the source of this 915-nucleotide long non-coding RNA. RefSeq lists it as uncharacterized. The record is from RefSeq and is a predicted model, not a curated record. The transcript has 4 exons. Lineage: Eukaryota; Viridiplantae; Streptophyta; Magnoliopsida; Rosales; Cannabaceae.
UUUUUUUUUUGAAACGGGAUUUUAUUGUAUUUACAAAUCAAUUUUCUUAUUUAAUAAAAAAAAACAUUUUAAUUUCCUUUGUGAACUUGUUGUCAUUCUUAGUCCUCACCACCUCAUGAUCAAUCCUCGCCACUUCAGGCUUAUUCAGAUUAUUUAGGUUAUUGAUUAUUUUGACUAGCUUUGGCUCUCCAUCCAUGGGAAGCUCCUCAUUUCCAACCAGUAACAGUAAUGUCGUUCAUUGAGAAGUUGGGAGUUAAAGAGGACCCCUUUCAAGAUUCUUUCUUCAUCUACAGUUGCUUAUUUGGUAUGAUAUGAAGCUAGUGCUUGUGGGCUGGAUUGGCUCUUCCCCAAUCCAGGAAGUAUAAUAACAAUCACUUGUUUAAAAGAAGGAACAAGUUUAUGGAUAUUGCAUACAAGAAAAGCAUAGAAGAAUUACGCUUCAAAAUCGUAGAAGUUGCAAAGAGCUCCAACAUGAAAAAGUCUUACAACAUAGGAUUCAAGGAAAACUAUGGAACUGAAGAUUUCAAUUGAGAUUGAACAUAAAGGGUUUGGAGGUGGAUUCAAUUCAUAGGAGCUUUAGAAGCCAAGUUACUUGCAGUUAGGUUAUCUCUUGAGACAGCUCUUUCAAAAGAUAGGAUAAACAAGUGACAAUUAAAUCUGGCUCCAUAGUAGUAAUUAAGGCUUUUGAAACGAAAUCCCUUCUAAAGGUUUGGGGCUCAUGAUCUAUUUUGUAUUUUUAUUAUGCCCACCUAAGUUUAUUUCUUUAUUUCUUGUAGUGAUAAUGUAUUGCUUGCUUCUCUUGCUGUGUGGGCAAGACUAUCUAAUGUCAAUAGUCAAGAAUUUGGUCUACCACUUUUAGCAUUUUUGCUAUCAAAAUAUCAUGAGACUUAUUUAGCAUACAGAAACAAAAAUAAA